GUUCAGAUGCUUCAAUCUUCUUCUGCUGCUGUUUUGUCUGGUUUAUCACAGCGAAAACACAUCUAUAUCUGUGUCAGGAAAGAAGGGAGGAAACAUCACACUCACAUGUGAAUCUGAGGCCAAAAAUAUUUUUCAUAUUAAGCUAAUCGGUGAGUCUGGAGGAAUUGAUGUUUGUCAAAAUGAAGUAUGCAGUGGACGAGUGUUUAAAGAAGGAAACUGUGACGUCUUCAUCAAGAAUCUGAUCUUCAGUGACGCUGGGAAAUACACUUUGAGAAUCUAUUACAAUAAUGAUCAGACAGAGCUGGAGUAACAAAUCAGGACGUACCAACUUCAUAUUCAUGAUGAGAUUUCUGUGAAAACAGGCGAGGAGCUAAAGAUGUCUGUUCUGGUGUCUGAUGCUGAUAAAGUGAAGACAAACUCUAGUGGAGAGUGGAAGGAGGUUUGGAUGAGAGAUCACGGGGUUCAGAGCGACCGAAUGAAUGAUGAUAAUGAUGGAAACCUGAUCAUUAAAUCAUUUCUGGACAGAGAUGCAGGAACAUACAGAGUUCUGGACACUGAAGGAGAAAUCUUGAUCACAGUCACAGUCACAGGUGAGAGAAGCUCAGAUAUGAGGAAAUAUUAUUUAUAAAGCAUGUGGACAGCUGAGGUUUAUUCAUCAUGAUCUGAACAUCACAUUGAUGCUGAACUGUGUGACUGACCUCUCAAUAUCUUCUACAAUCAAAGGAAAAACUGGACGACACUAAACAACGCAAGAACUGGAUUGUGUCAGUUGUCAUGUGUUUGGUGAUUCUGGCUGUGAUUGUGAUUUCUGUCAUCAUAUGGAGACGUCAGCACAGAGAUCACACACCGGUUCCAGCAGAUCCCCCACAGGAACUGGAUGAACUACCCUGAACCCCUGGUGAUGCAACUUAUGAUGUUACUGAUAUAAUUUCAACAUGUAAACUUAGUUUUGCUGAUGAUACUGUGGUUCUGGGCCUCAUUCACAACAAUAAUGAGACCGCAUACUUGGAUGAGGUAGAGAAAUUAACAUCUUGGUGCCAGGACAACUGUCUCUCUCUGAAUGUGAGCAAAACUAAAGAACUGAUUGUGGACUUCAGGAAGAGACAGCAGCAGCCCUAUACUCCUCUCAUGAUCAGCGGGACCCCUGUGGAGAGGGUGAGCAGCUUCAAGUACCUUGGUGUAAACAUCUCGGAGGACCUCACUUGGACUACUCACAUUCAAACACAGGUUAAUAAAGCCAGGCAAAGACUGUACCAUCUGCGACAGCUGAGGAAAUUCAGGGUCUCACCAGCAAUCCUGAAAACUUUCUAUUCUGGGGCUAUAGAAAGUGUAUUGACUCAGUGCAUCUCAGUGUGAUAUGGGAACAGCUCCAGUCAAGACUGCAAAGCCCUGCAGAGAGUUGUGCGCUUAGCUGAGCGCAUUUCAGGGUCUGCUCUCCCCUCUCUGCAGGACAUCUACCUCAAACGCUGCAGAAGUAGAGCUGCAAAAAUCAUCAAAGACUCCAUCCACCCCAGUAACCAUCUUUUCACUUUGCUGCCAUCUGGUAAGCGCUUCCGUAGCCUGAUGGCAAAAACUGAGAGACUCAUGAGGAGUUUCUUCCCCCAGGCCAUCAGGCUCCUAAACUCAAAACAAGCCUCUUAACAUCCUCAUGCUUCCACUUAAUGUUCACUUUAUCAGUAAGAUAUUCAUCAUUCACUGUUUGCACAUUUGCCUCUUGUACAUCCCUGUGUACCUUAAUAUUUAAGACUACAGUUUACACUCAUGCACAUUAUUCUGCGUUGUAUAUUUAAUUCUACAAUAUACAAUUUUUUUUUUCUUAUAUUUUUGUUUACUUUUAUUUCAUUGUUACAUAGCUA
Molecule: long non-coding RNA, 1856 nt
Organism: Carassius gibelio (silver crucian carp)
Lineage: Eukaryota; Metazoa; Chordata; Actinopteri; Cypriniformes; Cyprinidae
Exons: 4
Source: RefSeq, a predicted model, not a curated record